UACUGUGGCAUCGAGGUCACCAACAAAUAUUGAAAAUGAUGGUCUGUUUGGAACAAUUUGAGGCAUAGAUUAAUGAAUGGGGUUUUGUUUCAUACACUCCAUGUUCACUUCUGAGUUACUAGAUAGGUAAAAUUGUCAGUAAUGCAUUUUUGUUU
Non-coding RNA from Ciona intestinalis (vase tunicate), 155 nucleotides. NCBI's taxonomy places the organism in Eukaryota, Metazoa, Chordata, Ascidiacea, Phlebobranchia, Cionidae. The record is from RefSeq and is a predicted model, not a curated record.